Molecule: long non-coding RNA, 1770 nt
Organism: Spea bombifrons (plains spadefoot toad)
Lineage: Eukaryota; Metazoa; Chordata; Amphibia; Anura; Pelobatidae
Exons: 4
Source: RefSeq, a predicted model, not a curated record
GGGAAGUUGUCUCUCUGCUUUGUGAUUCACAGGUGGCAGACCAUUAUGACUCGAGUCAGUCUUUGAGAGGUGUGUUUUUUUCUUAUUCCUUUCUUCCAUUUCAUGACUGUUGCAACAAUGUAUUUGGAUAUGGGGGUAUCUCUUGUGAACAUUUUAACCCAUCAGGUACAUAGAAGACGGCUUCAAGGCACAAAGCUUCUCAGUCGUAAGACAUUUUGAUUAUGUAUGUUUCACAAUAAAGCCCAUGUGAUUUAGGAUUAACGUAGGAAGACAUUUAGAAGUUGUGUAUGUGGAAGGAAAGGCCUGUGUGUCUAUUGCUUUACUCGACAGAUGUCGCAGCCUUGUCUUGUGGAAAAGUGAAUCAUGGGCACUACAGGGUUUUCAGCAGGUGUAAGGUAAGCAAAAUGAUCUCGCUUGAAUAGUUUCAGGAUCCACACAGAUCGAGAGGAGCAGCAAAGAACGUGAAGAAAAAAGUUUGUACCAUCUUAUGCCUUCUCUAUCAGAUCCCUUCAAGAGACAAAAUAUCGGACCUUUGCUGCCUAGGAAGACCUUGAUAAUAGGUGUUACUUUUGAACCUUGAGACCCGUGAAUCAUUGAGACGCAAAGGGUUUGGACAGAAAACACUGCUAAUUUGAAAUGUAUAGGGUGAAGGGAAAGUUGUCUCUCUGCUUUGUGAUUCACAGGUGGCAGAGCAUUAUGACCCGAGUCAGUCUUGGAGAGGUGUGUGUUUUUUUCUUAUUCCUUUCUUCCAUUUCAUGACUGUUGCAACAAUGUAUUUGGAUAUGGGGGUAUCUCUUGUGAACAUUUUAACCCAUCAGGUACAUAGAAGACGGCUUCAAGGCACAAAGCUUCUCAGUCGUAAGACAUUUUGAUUAUGUAUGUUUCACAAUAAAGCCCAUGUGAUUUAGGAUUAACGUAGGAAGACAUUUAGAAGUUGUGUAUGUGGAAGGAAAGGCCUGUGUGUCUAUUGCUUUACUCGACAGAUGUCGCAGCCUUGUCUUGUGGAAAAGUGAAUCAUGGGCAACAGGGUUUUCAGCAGGUGUAAGGUAAGCAAAAUGAUCUCGCUUGAAUAGUUUCAGGAUCCACACAGAUCGAGAGGAGCAGCAAAGAACGUGAAGAAAAAAGUUUGUACCAUCUUAUGCCUUCUCUAUCAGAUCCCUUCAAGAGACAAAAUAUCGGACCUUUGCUGCCUAGGAAGACCUUGAUAAUAGGUGUUACUUUUGAACCUUGAGACCCGUGAAUCAUUGAGACGCAAAGGGUUUGGACAGAAAACACUGCUAAUUUGAAAUGUAUAGGGUGAAGGGAAAGUUGUCUCUCUGCUUUGUGAUUCACAGGUGGCAGAGCAUUAUGACCCGAGUCAGUCUUGGAGAGGUGUGUGUUUUUUUCUUAUUCCUUUCUUCCAUUUCAUGACUGUUGCAACAAUGUAUUUGGAUAUGGGGGUAUCUCUUGUGAACAUUUUAACCCAUCAGGUACAUAGAAGACGGCUUCAAGGCACAAAGCUUCUCAGUCGUAAGACAUUUUGAUUAUGUAUGUUUCACAAUAAAGCCCAUGUGAUUUAGGAUUAACGUAGGAAGACAUUUAGAAGUUGUAAGUUGUGUAUGUGGAAGGAAAGGCCUGUGUGUCUAUUGCUUUACUCGACAGAUGUCGCAGCCUUGUCUUGUGGAAAAGUGAAUCUUGGGCAACAGGGUUUUCAGAAGGUGUAAGGUAAGCAAAAUGAUCUCGCUUGAAUAGUUUCAGGAUCCACACAGAUUGAGAGGAGCAGCAAAGAAA